This is a long non-coding RNA of Arabidopsis lyrata subsp. lyrata, 2136 nucleotides long. RefSeq lists it as uncharacterized. The transcript is spliced from 3 exons. The record is from RefSeq and is a predicted model, not a curated record. Lineage: Eukaryota; Viridiplantae; Streptophyta; Magnoliopsida; Brassicales; Brassicaceae.
UAUUAAAUGUUUCGUUUUUUUUUUAUCAAUUACAUUUGAUUUCUGCGACAGUAACAAAAAUCAUGAAAAUUGAGCUAUUGUAUGAAGUAUAUAAAUUCCUACACUAUGUUCUGUCUUUGAUCUCUCUCUCAUUUCUCUUGAAAUUUGUACUCUUUUUGUUCUGUUGCCUCCUGUAGCUUGCUGGAAUCUGAUGAAGUAGAGCCGCUAAGUAUUCUUUGAAACCAUCGAGCAGAAGCUUUAGGUAUCCUUGUGAGAUUGUUCUUGUAGUCAACGUAGUAGAUCCCGAACCGGACCGUGUAUCCUGAGUUCCAUUCCCAAUUGUCUAGCAAUGACCACACAAAAUAUCCUCUUACAUCGCAUUCAUCAGUCCUGCAAAUUUACAUUUUUUUUUUUUAACUUAAAAGACUUUUGUGAAAGAAUGAAUCUUUUUGCAAAGUGAAACACUUUACCUUAUGGCAGCUGAUAAGUUUGAGAGGUGGGUUUCCAUACAUGUCUUUAAGAUACACUGCCAGUUUCCUGAUUCCCCAUGGGACAAUGUGUAGCCAGCUUGAUCCUGCCUGUUUCAAGUGUGGUAAGCAGCAGCAUGAGACAAGAGAAUGUUAUGAGCUACAACAUACGGUUCGACCGAUGACUUCCCCUCCUUACAGAACCAAUGUCCUAGAAGUGAGCACCUCCCUGGAGCUUGUAUCCCUGUGUCAUAGCCUUGGAUCGAUACCCCAUGAGGCUCAUUGAUAGUGAUCCAGUACUUCACUCUAUCUCCAAAUGCUUUGAAACAGGUGAAUGCAUAAUGCUCAAAAUCUUCCCUGCACCAUUUUUUUAGCUUAUGAUUUCGUAACCAUCUCACCAUAUCAAGAUUUCACAUUUUUAUCCAAAGAUCAUAUACUUACACGACUUCUCUGCUUAGCCAUCCUUCAUAUCUGUCUUCUAAAGCUUGUGGGAGAUCCCAGUGAUACAAUGUCACGUAAGGUUUGAUUCCUUUGGCUAAAAGAGCAUCUAUUAGGCUGUUAUAGUACUUAACUCCAUCUGGGUUCACUUCCCCUGUUCCAUCUGUUAAAACCUGAGUUUAAUAGACUCGUCGAAACUCGGUUAUAACAAUACUCUUAUCACAGCUAAAUGAACUAGACUUACUAGGGAAUAUUCUUGACCAAGAUAUAGAGAAUCUGUAAGCAUCCAUUCUCAGAUCUUUCAUCAGGUCUAUGUCACUCUGUGAUAGCAAAAAAACAAAGAAAGGUUCUUGCUUCUUAGAUUGUCUCAUUUGUGUCCUGUUGCGUCUUAUCUUAGAUUUGUUUGGAUGAGGUUGCUCUGUCAAGAAGCAACCCGACAUUUAUCUUCAAGCUGAAGUCAACAAAUGUGUUCUUUUUAGGUAAAACUUACAUGAAACCUGUGAUAUUGAUCGACCGUAGUAUCCGCAUUGCUGAAAUCCAGUAUCUUUCCUGUUGAUCAAGAACGAUACCAUUGACUUAAAUGAAAUCUUGAUUUUUCUGGGUUCUUUGUGACAUUUUCUGGGUUUGUUUCUUUGAUACCUGGUUUCUUCGUGAAAGUGUCCCAUAUGCUUUGUCCUUUGUUUCCUUCUUUCACAGCUCCUUCGAACUAAUUUUCUUGCAAGAAAAUGUUGCGAUUGUCAAAAAUCUUUUGAAAUCUUCUUUCUUUCUUGGAUCAGUUUGGAGAAGAAGAAUGUCACCUGGUAAGCUGAAGAGGCUGUUCCGAAUACAAACCCAUCUGGAAAAUCUGCUCUGCUGAUAGAUUCUGACGAAACAUGAUCAAGAGGCACGAAGAAGACGACCAAGAACGGAAGCAGAACCAGGACUAGUCUCAUUAAAGAUUCCAUCUUUGGGUCGCAUGAAUAGAGUAAGUGAGAGAGAGAGAUAAAGGGAAGCAAUUUUUUGGUGAAUGAAAGAUUUGGAGGCAAGUUUUUGUGUGUGUUUUUAAUUUGUAAAGUUGAAGAAGAAAGAGGAAGAGUGCAAAAGAAAAGCUCUCGUCUUUUGAAGGCUCUUCUUUGGUGUUGACAUUUGUUGUUGAUUUGUUCACUCUACUUUUACAGUACACGUUUCUUAUACUUGUGCCAAAAACUUUAAAAGAAAAGUGUACUCUUAAGAUAAAAAGUUUGUUACUAGAGACAUUGAUUCACCUAAUUAA